GUCUAUCUGGUGGCCUAGUGGUUAGAGCGUCCGUCUCGGAUGCGGGAGGUCGCGGGUCCGAAUCCCGGCUGAGUCA
Molecule: non-coding RNA, 76 nt
Organism: Potamilus streckersoni
Lineage: Eukaryota; Metazoa; Mollusca; Bivalvia; Unionida; Unionidae
Source: the annotation of a GenBank genome assembly